This 478-nucleotide ribosomal RNA is filed under the name uncultured bacterium. Its description in RNAcentral is "partial 16S ribosomal RNA". It matches the Rfam family "Bacterial small subunit ribosomal RNA", at positions 28 to 523 of the family's 1533-position model. The record is from RNAcentral.
GACGAACGCUGGCGGCGUGCUUAACACAUGCAAGUCGAACGGUAAGGCCCUUCGGGGUACACGAGUGGCGAACGGGUGAGUAACACGUGGGUGAUCUGCCCUGCACUUCGGGAUAAGCCUGGGAAACUGGGCCUAAUACCGGAUAGGACCCUGGGAUGCAUGUCCUGGGGUGGAAAGCUUUUGCGGUGUGGGAUGGGCCCGCGGCCUAUCAGCCUGUUGGUGGGGUGAUGGCUUACCAAGGCGACGACGGGUAGCCGGCCUGGGAGGGUGACCGUGCACACUGCGACUGAGAGACGGCGCAGACUCCUACGGGAGGCAGCAGGGGGGAAUAUUGCACAAUGGGCGCAAGCGUGAGGCAGCGACGCCGCGUGAGGGAUGACGGCCUUCGUGUUGUAAACCUCUUUCAGUAGGGACGAAGCGCAAGUGACGGUACCUACAGAAGAAGGACCGGCCAACUACGUGCCAGCCGCCGCAGUAA